UGGGGAAUAUUGCACAAUGGGCGCAAGCCUGAUGCAGCCAUGCCGCGUGUGUGAAGAAGGCCUUCGGGUUGUAAAGCACUUUCAGCGGGGAGGAAGGCGUUAAGGUUAAUAACCUUGGCGAUUGACGUUACCCGCAGAAGAAGCACCGGCUAACUCCGUGCCAGCAGCCGCGGUAAUACGGAGGGUGCAAGCGUUAAUCGGAAUUACUGGGCGUAAAGCGCACGCAGGCGGUCUGUCAAGUCGGAUGUGAAAUCCCCGGGCUCAACCUGGGAACUGCAUUCGAAACUGGCAGGCUAGAGUCUUGUAGAGGGGGGUAGAAUUCCAGGUGUAGCGGUGAAAUGCGUAGAGAUCUGGAGGAAUACCGGUGGCGAAGGCGGCCCCUGGACAAAGACUGACGCUCAGGUGCGAAAGCGUGGGGAGCAAACAGG
This 428-nucleotide ribosomal RNA is filed under the name Chloroflexota bacterium. RNAcentral's name for it is "Chloroflexi bacterium partial 16S ribosomal RNA". It matches the Rfam family "Bacterial small subunit ribosomal RNA", at positions 355 to 776 of the family's 1533-position model. Lineage: Bacteria; Bacillati; Chloroflexota. The record is from RNAcentral.